AACGAACGCUGGCGGCAUGCCUAACACAUGCAAGUCGAACGAGACCUUCGGGUCUAGUGGCGCACGGGUGCGUAACGCGUGGGAACCUGCCCUUAGGUUCGGAAUAACUCCCCGAAAGGGGUGCCAAUACCGGAUAAUGUCUUCGGACCAAAGAUUUAUCGCCUUUGGAUGGGCCCGCGUUGGAUUAGCUAGUUGGUAGGGUAAAAGCCUACCAAGGCGACGAUCCAUAGCUGGUCUGAGAGGAUGAUCAGCCACACUGGGACUGAGACACGGCCCAGACUCCUACGGGAGGCAGCAGUGGGGAAUAUUGGACAAUGGGCGAAAGCCUGAUCCGGCAAUGCCGCGUGAGUGAUGAAGGCCUUAGGGUUGUAAAGCUCUUUUACCCGGGAUGAUAAUGACAGUACCGGGAGAAUAAGCUCCGGCUAACUCCGUG
This 433-nucleotide ribosomal RNA is filed under the name uncultured bacterium. RNAcentral's name for it is "partial 16S ribosomal RNA". It matches the Rfam family "Bacterial small subunit ribosomal RNA", at positions 29 to 507 of the family's 1533-position model. The record is from RNAcentral.